This 497-nucleotide ribosomal RNA is filed under the name uncultured bacterium. RNAcentral describes it as "partial 16S ribosomal RNA". It matches the Rfam family "Bacterial small subunit ribosomal RNA", at positions 28 to 507 of the family's 1533-position model. The record is from RNAcentral.
GAUGAACGCUGGCGGCGUGCCUAAUACAUGCAAGUCGAGCGAACGGACGAGAAGCUUGCUUCUCUGAUGUUAGCGGCGGACGGGUGAGUAACACGUGGAUAACCUACCUAUAAGACUGGGAUAACUUCGGGAAACCGUAGCUAAUACCGGAUAAUAUUUUGAACCGCAUGGUUCAAAAGUGAAAGACGGUCUUGCUGUCACUUAUAGAUGGAUCCGCGCUGCAUUAGCUAGUUGGUAAGGUAACGGCUUACCAAGGCAACGAUGCAUAGCUGACCUAAGAGGGUGAUCGGCCACACUGGAACUGAGACACGGUCCAGACUCCUACGGGAGGCAGCAGUAGGGAAUCGUGCGCAAUGGGCGCAAGCCUGACGGUGCAACGCCGCGUGAGUGAUGAAGGUCUUCGGAUCGUAAAACUCUGUUAUUAGGGAAGAACAUAUGUGUAAGUAAAUGUGCACAUCUUGACGGUACCUAAUCAGAAAGCCGCGGCUAACUACGUG